UGAUGCUGACAGAUGACACUGGAAGUAAUGGGGGCGGAGAGCACAAAACUGAGAUGGGCCCGAGAGACGUAUGCAGAAGGGAGGACAAUGCCCU
This 94-nucleotide long non-coding RNA is filed under the name Canis lupus dingo (dingo). Its description in RNAcentral is "lncRNA (ENSCAFG00020000499.1)". Lineage: Eukaryota; Metazoa; Chordata; Mammalia; Carnivora; Canidae. The record is from RNAcentral.